Molecule: long non-coding RNA, 482 nt
Organism: Manihot esculenta (cassava)
Lineage: Eukaryota; Viridiplantae; Streptophyta; Magnoliopsida; Malpighiales; Euphorbiaceae
Exons: 3
Source: RefSeq, a predicted model, not a curated record
UCAGAUAUUUCAGUUGGAGAUGAGUAUCUGCCAAUUGCAACUGCAAAUGGAAGCAUUCUGACUUGGUCUAUAUUAGGCAGUGGGAGGAUUUGGUAGAGGUCAGGGUCAUUCUGGUGGAAAUGAAACUGUUACUGGAAGGGCCUGUCCAAAAGGGCUUUAUGGUAUAUUCUGCGAGAAGAGCAGUAUUAUCUUAGAGGUAGAGGGCAUGGCCAGCAGCUCUCUAUGAAUGAAAGACAUGAGGCAACAGAGAUGCAAAAGGAAACACGAGAGCAUACUCCACAAGCAAACAUAUUUUCAUCAUCACACAACUGUAGAUUCUACUUCUCCAUCAGAUGUUUCAGCAAACUGAUAGAUUUGUUUUAAAUUUUAUGAAUAUUGUUAAGUAUAUGGAUUUGUUCUAAACUUUCGAUUUUGUAAACAUUGUGAAGUAUUUGUGUGUAUGAAUAUGAAUUAUAAUGAUUAUGAAUGACUUUUAAUUUAUA